UCCGCUGACGACCGGCGCACGGGUGCGUAACGCGUAUGCAACCUACCUUCUACAGGGGGAUAGUCAAUAGAAAUGUUGAAUAAUACCCCAUACGAUCUUUGAAUAGCAUUAUUUAAAGAAGAAAGCUCCGGCGGUAGAAGAUGGGCAUGCGUCCUAUUAGUUAGUUGGUAAGGUAACGGCUUACCAAGACUUCGAUAGGUAGGGGUCCUGAGAGGGAGACCCCCCACACUGGUACUGAGACACGGACCAGACUCCUACGGGAGGCAGCAGUGAGGAAUAUUGGACAAUGGAGGCAACUCUGAUCCAGCCAUGCCGCGUGCAGGAAGACUGCCCUAUGGGUUGUAAACUGCUUUUAUACAGGAAGAAAUAUACCUACGUGUAGGUAUUUGACGGUACUGUACGAAUAAGGAUCGGCUAACUCCGUGCCAGCAGCCGCGGUAAUACGGAGGAUCCAAGCGUUAUCCGGAAUCAUUGGGUUUAAAGGGUCCGUA
Molecule: ribosomal RNA, 491 nt
Filed under: uncultured Bacteroidota bacterium
Lineage: Bacteria; Pseudomonadati; Bacteroidota
Description: bacterial SSU rRNA
Rfam family: Bacterial small subunit ribosomal RNA
Source: RNAcentral